This 757-nucleotide small RNA is filed under the name Pongo abelii (Sumatran orangutan). RNAcentral's name for it is "retained intron". The record is from RNAcentral. Lineage: Eukaryota; Metazoa; Chordata; Mammalia; Primates; Hominidae.
CACCCUUGUCCCUGCUUUGUCCCAGGCUGGCCCUGCAUAACUCCCGUUUCCUGAGUCUCUGCUCUGAGCUGGAUGGUCGAGUCCGGCCCCUCGUGUACACCCUCCGCUGCUGGGCUCAGGGUCGGGGGCUGUCAGGGAGUGGCCCCCUUCUCAGUAACUACGCCCUGACCUUGCUGGUGAUCUAUUUUCUUCAGACCAGGGACCCUCCUGUGUUGCCCACUGUGUCUGAGCUCACCCAGAAAGCAGGAGAGGGGGAACAGGUGGAAGUCGACGGCUGGGACUGCAGUUUCCCCAGGGAUGCCUCAAGACUGGAGCCCAGCACAAAUGUGGAGCCCCUCAGUGAGUUUGGGGAGCCUGGUAGAGGACUAGUAAUGAUAUUCAUCAACAGUAGGUAACAUAUAUCACACUAACUGUGUGCCAGGCAUGGUUCUCACAGAAAGCCUGUGAGAUACCUAAUAUUAUUACUGCCAUUUUACAGAUGAAGAAACCAUGUUUGGGAGCAAUUAAGUGACUUGCCCAAGGUUACACUGGCUAGCAAGGAGCAGCAGCAUCUGGGCAAGGACAUCAUGUGGGGGCAGGGAGAGAGGUUUGACCUCUUGUUUAUAGGGAUCAGAGAAGCCUAGCUUCCUGGGACUCUGCUGAGCCCCUUGGAAGGGAAAAAGAAAGUCCUGCUAAGGAAAUGGCUCUGGUGCAGGACCUGUAUCAGUUCUGGCCUCUAAGUGACCCCCCCUUUCCCCACUCUUCCUCCUCCUCCAGG